ACGGUUUCCCUUGAUAUUGGAGAAGCCAGAUGGCACUCAGCGUUGAAGAAAAAGCAAAGAUCGUUGGCGAAUACCAGCAAGCAG
Molecule: non-coding RNA, 84 nt
Filed under: Pseudomonas palmensis
Lineage: Bacteria; Pseudomonadati; Pseudomonadota; Gammaproteobacteria; Pseudomonadales; Pseudomonadaceae
Description: Ribosomal S15 leader
Rfam family: Ribosomal S15 leader
About the family: The E. coli Ribosomal S15 gene 5' UTR can form two alternative structures. One that is a series of three hairpins, The other includes a pseudoknot.
Source: RNAcentral